UCUCCUGAACUCAUGCCUCUUCCUGGAACCCAUCACCUGCCCUGCCUCACAGCUGCCACCACUGUGCAUGGGACUGAGCAGUGAUCACCCCUGUGAGGGCCACGCUUGGCACAUGAAGGAAGCAAGAGGCCGGAGUCUUGGGGCUGCCCUCAGCGAGCUGCUUACCUGACAGGAGGGCUGGGUGAACUGUAUCUUUGGAAAUACCCCAAAGUCAUGUGGAUUCAAGUCGGAGGAAUCAGGUCUUUGGUGUAAUCCUAGGAAGCAGGCAGAAUAUGGAUUGAUGCCCUUUUUACAGGGGAAAACAAUUUCAAGAAGAGAAAUGGGGACACCUGGGCUCCAGGUCCUCUGUGGAAGAAGUGCUGGGGUGUGAUGUGCACCGAGGCUGAGCAUUUGGAUGGACGCGUCGGGCGGGGUGGGUGGGCGUGGAGAUUGAGGGUCCUGUGCACAAGCUCCUUGAUCGCGCCCUCCUUGACCCUCUCUGCGGCUCUCGAAGUGGGGGUUAUCGCCUGCAUUACCCUCCACGCCCCACAUCACGGAGCUAACAAGAGAUAGACUUGGAGGCUGCACCCUGGCCCGUGAGCUCCCAAGGCAGGCCAGCCCACCAGUGUUCGCUGGCGUCUGGGCUCCGCUUCAAGACCCCGGAGCACGACCUCACACGGGACUGCGUGUGUGCAGUGUGUCUUGCAAGUUACAAGCAUUGCGAAACUGAGCCGCGGUGGCAUUUUGGU
Long non-coding RNA from Mustela erminea (ermine), 728 nucleotides. RefSeq lists it as uncharacterized. The record is from RefSeq and is a predicted model, not a curated record. The transcript has 4 exons. Lineage: Eukaryota; Metazoa; Chordata; Mammalia; Carnivora; Mustelidae.